GAUGAACGCUGGCGGCGUGCCUAAUACAUGCAAGUCGAGCGAACAGACGAGGAGCUUGCUCCUCUGACGUUAGCGGCGGACGGGUGAGUAACACGUGGAUAACCUACCUAUAAGACUGGGAUAACUUCGGGAAACCGGAGCUAACACCGGAUAAUAUAUUGAACCGCAUGGUUCAAUAGUGAAAGACGGUUUUGCUGUCACUUAUAGAUGGAUCCGCGCCGCAUUAGCUAGUUGGUAAGGUAACGGCUUACCAAGGCAACGAUGCGUAGCCGACCUGAGAGGGUGAUCGGCCACACGGGAACUGAGACACGGUCCAGACUCCUACGGGAGGCAGCAGUCGGGAAUCUUCCGCAAUGGGCGAAAGCCUGACGGAGCAACGCCGCGUGAGUGAUGAAGGUCUUCGGAUCGUAAAACUCUGUUAUUAGGGAAGAACAAAUGUGUAAGUAACUAUGCACGUCUUGACGGUACCUAAUCAGAAAGCCACGGCUAACUACGUG
Molecule: ribosomal RNA, 497 nt
Filed under: uncultured bacterium
Lineage: Bacteria
Description: partial 16S ribosomal RNA
Rfam family: Bacterial small subunit ribosomal RNA
Source: RNAcentral